GGUGUCGAAAGACUCAAUAGAGAAAUCGGUAUAAGCCGAUGGGUCCCGCCACUGUAAGAGGAGCGACUCUUGAUUAUGCCACUGGAGUAAUCUGGGAAGGUAAGAGAAGCGAUGAAUCUAAGCCAGGAGAACUGCCUAUUUAA
Molecule: non-coding RNA, 143 nt
Filed under: uncultured Veillonella sp.
Lineage: Bacteria; Bacillati; Bacillota; Negativicutes; Veillonellales; Veillonellaceae
Source: RNAcentral